CAGUCGCCGCGGGAAUACGAAGGGUGCAAGCGUUAAUCGGAAUUACUGGGCGUAAAGCGUGCGUAGGCGGUUUGUUAAGUCUGUUGUGAAAUCCCCGGGCUCAACCUGGGAAUGGCAAUGGAUACUGGCAAGCUAGAGUGUGUCAGAGGAUGGUGGAAUUCCCGGUGUAGCGGUGAAAUGCGUAGAGAUCGGGAGGAACAUCAGUGGCGAAGGCGGCCAUCUGGGACAACACUGACGCUGAGGCACGAAAGCGUGGGGAGCAGACAGGAUUAGAUACCCCCGUAGUCCCUGUCUCUUAUAC
Molecule: ribosomal RNA, 301 nt
Filed under: uncultured bacterium
Lineage: Bacteria
Description: partial 16S ribosomal RNA
Rfam family: Bacterial small subunit ribosomal RNA
Source: RNAcentral